ACGUAGGGGGCAAGCGUUAUCCGGAAUUAUUGGGCGUAAAGAGUGCGUAGGUGGUUUCUAAGCGUGAGGUGAAAGGCAAUAGCUUAACUAUUGUAAGCCUUGCGAACUGGAAGACUUGAGUGCAGGAGAGGAAAGUGGAAUUCCUAGUGUAGCGGUGAAAUGCGUAGAUAUUAGGAGGAGCACCAGUGGCGAAGGCGACUACCUGGACUGUAACUUACUGGGAGGCACGAAAGCGUGGGAAGCAAACAG
RNAcentral lists this ribosomal RNA (249 nucleotides) under uncultured prokaryote. Its description in RNAcentral is "partial 16S rRNA". It matches the Rfam family "Bacterial small subunit ribosomal RNA", at positions 525 to 775 of the family's 1533-position model. The record is from RNAcentral.